CUUCACCGAACCCAGCAACAACGGACGCUCCGGAUCACGGUCCCGCCCAUACGUGGCCAGCAAUGCCUGCGCCUC
Molecule: antisense RNA, 75 nt
Filed under: Streptomyces sp. CB00316
Lineage: Bacteria; Bacillati; Actinomycetota; Actinomycetes; Kitasatosporales; Streptomycetaceae
Description: ASpks sRNA
Rfam family: ASpks TB sRNA
Source: RNAcentral